Molecule: ribosomal RNA, 430 nt
Filed under: Bacillota bacterium
Lineage: Bacteria; Bacillati; Bacillota
Description: Firmicutes bacterium partial 16S ribosomal RNA
Rfam family: Bacterial small subunit ribosomal RNA
Source: RNAcentral
UAGGGAAUCUUCCGCAAUGGACGAAAGUCUGACGGAGCAACGCCGCGUGAGUGAUGAAGGUCUUCGGAUCGUAAAACUCUGUUGUUAGGGAAGAACAAGUAUAAGGCGAAUAACCUUAUACCUUGACGGUACCUAACCAGAAAGCCCCGGCUAACUACGUGCCAGCAGCCGCGGUAAUACGUAGGGGGCGAGCGUUGUCCGGAAUUAUUGGGCGUAAAGGGUGCGUAGGCGGUCUUCUAAGUCUGAUGUGAAAGCACCCGGCUUAACCGGGGAGGGUCAAUGGAAACUGGAAGGCUUGAGUGGAGAAGAGGGGAGCGGAAUUCCGCGUGUAGCGGUGAAGUGCGUAGAGAUGGGGAGGAACACCAGUGGCGAAGGCGGCUCUCUGGUCUGUAACUGACGCUGGGGCACGAAAGCGUGGGGAGCAAACAGG